CGAAUGACCACUACAUUGUUUG
Molecule: non-coding RNA, 22 nt
Filed under: Arabidopsis thaliana (thale cress)
Lineage: Eukaryota; Viridiplantae; Streptophyta; Magnoliopsida; Brassicales; Brassicaceae
Source: RNAcentral